This 234-nucleotide ribosomal RNA is filed under the name uncultured bacterium. RNAcentral describes it as "partial 16S ribosomal RNA". It matches the Rfam family "Bacterial small subunit ribosomal RNA", at positions 524 to 751 of the family's 1533-position model. The record is from RNAcentral.
UACGAAGGGUGCAAGCGUUACUACGGAAUUACUGGGCGUAAAGCUGUGCGUAGGUGGUUUGUUAAGUCCUGUUGUGAAAGCCCCGGGCUCAACCUGGGAAUGGCAAUGGAGUACUGGCAGGCUAGAGUGCGGUAGAGGUAGUGGAAUUCCCGGUGUAAGCGGUGAAAUGCGUAGAGAUCGGGAGGAACACCAGGUGGCGAAGGCGGCUACCUGGACCAGCACUGACACUGGAGG